CCUGCCCAGUGCCGGAAGGUUAAAGGGAGAGGUUCGGCGCAAGCCAAAGCUUUGAACUGAAGCCCCGGUGAACGGCGGCCGUAACUAUAACGGUCCUAAGGUAGCGAAAUUCCUUGUCGGGUAAGUUCCGACCCGCACGAAAGGUGUAACGACUGGAGCACUGUCUCGGCAUGGGACCCGGCGAAAUUGAAAUACGUGUAAAGAUGCGCGUUACCCGCAGCAGGACAAAAAGACCCCGUGGAGCUUUACUGCAACUUGGCAUUGCGUUAGGGCUUGGUCUGUGUAGAAUAGGUGGGAGGCUUUGAAGCUGGGGCGCUAGCCUCGGUGGAGCCGCAAUGUGAAAUACCACCCUGAUUAAGCUUUGACCCUAACCCCGCGCCGUUAUCCGGCCGGGGAACCGUGCCAGGCGGGCAGUUUGACUGGGGCGGUCGCCUCCUAAAAGGUAGCGGAGGCGCCCAAAGGUUCUCUCAGGCUGAAUGGAAACCAGCCAUAGAGUGUAAAGGCACAAGAGAGCUUGACUGCAAGGCGAACAUGCCGAGCAGAUGCGAAAGCAGGGCUUAGUGAUCCCACGGUACUGAGUGGAAGGGCCGUGGCUUACCGGACAAAAGCUACCCCGGGGAUAACAGGCUGGUGAAGUCCAAGAGUCCAUAUCGACGACUUCGCUCGGCACCUCGAUGUCGGCUCAUCGCAUCCUGGGGCUGAAUAAGGUCCCAAGGGUCGGGCUGUUCGCCCGUUAAAGCGGUACGUGAGCUGGGUUCAGACCGUCGUGAGACAGGUCGGUCUCUAUCCGCUGUGGGCGCAGGAGAUUUGAGGGGAGCUGCUCUUAGUACGAGAGGACCGGAGUGGACAGACCUCUGGUGUGCCAGUUGUUCCGCCAGGAGCAUCGCUGGGUAGCCACGUCUGGCAGAGAUAACCGCUGAAUGCAUCUAAGUGGGAAACUCGCCCCAAGAUAAGAUCUCCCUUCCUUAAUUGGAGAAAGACCGCCAGAAGACUACUGGUUUGAUAGGCGGCAGGUGUAAGCACAGCAAUGUGUUAAGCUUAGCCGAUGCUAAUGGUCGAGGGCU
RNAcentral lists this ribosomal RNA (1064 nucleotides) under Thermoflexales bacterium. RNAcentral describes it as "partial 23S ribosomal RNA (partial)". It matches the Rfam family "Bacterial large subunit ribosomal RNA", at positions 1858 to 2925 of the family's 2925-position model. The record is from RNAcentral. Lineage: Bacteria; Bacillati; Chloroflexota; Thermoflexia; Thermoflexales.